Molecule: non-coding RNA, 182 nt
Filed under: Candidatus Collierbacteria bacterium GW2011_GWA2_42_17
Lineage: Bacteria; Candidatus Collieribacteriota
Source: RNAcentral
AUUCCUUUCGCAUGAUGAUUUAUGCCAGAAUGUAUGAAAUAUAAAGGUCUUGACCCCGUAACGACUAGAUUCCUGUUUAGACAGGAUGAAGAUGGGUAGAGUAAUCUAUUUCCAUAACACGUCGACCCCUAACGCGAAAGCGAAGGGUGAAGGUAUAGUCUACGUUUGAAGUAAUGUUCAAA